This is an RNA transcript of Papaver somniferum (opium poppy), 1876 nucleotides long. It is a transcript of the gene named probably inactive leucine-rich repeat receptor-like protein kinase At5g06940, with no coding region annotated. NCBI's taxonomy places the organism in Eukaryota, Viridiplantae, Streptophyta, Magnoliopsida, Ranunculales, Papaveraceae. The record is from RefSeq and is a predicted model, not a curated record. The transcript is spliced from 2 exons.
CUUAUAAAUGCCAGUUUAUAUCUUGGCUAUUCUGCAUAUUCAUUUAUCAACCAAACACUUUCUUCAAUAUUCGAUAAAGUCUCAUUCGAGUUUUGUUGAAUUAGACAUGAAUUCGUUGAUUAAGAGAACUCAAAUUCUCACUUCAUUUAGUCUUCAACUUCACUUCUUGCUCUUUUUAUUUAUCAGUAUUACGCAAUGCCCGCUAGCUUCUCAUGGCUACAAUGAACAGGAAAGAAGGGCUCUUCUUGAUUUUAAAUUCUCAAUGGAGGACCCUGCAAAUCGUUUAUCUUCAUGGCUAGAAGGAAACAAAUAUCGAAACUGUUGUAACUGGCAUGGAAUUGAAUGUUCCAAAGACUCAUCCCCCCAUGUCAUCUCCAUAAACCUCCGUAACACAGUCCUUGAAACUUACAUCAAUGAGUAUUUCAAAGAUGAUUUCAAUAUUAGGGGGCCAACACCAAAUACUUCUUUACAUGGAUGUUUCAACAUCAAUGGCCUAAGCUACAAAGACUUUCCAUGUCAGGAACAAACAUAAGUGGAUCCAUUCCAAGUUCAAUAUCAAAUGCACCGCUACUGGUCAGUCUUUAUGCUGGCGGUUGUUCAAUUCAGGGAUCUUUACCUCUUUCAAUCUACAAUCUUUCUCAUUUGGAGUCUCUAGAUCUUUCUGAUAAUAGCAUAACCGGUUAUAUACAUUCCUCAAUAUCCAAUUUAAAAUCCUUACGCAUUCUAGACUUGUCUGUAAAUAAUUUUCAAGGGUCCAUACAAAAAUCAAUCUGCCAAAUUGUUCCUCUACAAAAACUUUAUUUACAUGGUAAUAAUAUAACAGGAACCAUACCUAGUUGCAUAACAAAGCUUAGAAACCUCACUCUUUUUGAUGUUCAUGGAAACUCAAUCGAGGGAAAUGUUUCGUUGAUAUCUUUGAUCAAUGAACUAAACCUAACUUGGCUGGACCUGAGCACAAAUAGGUUAACCGUAGUUAUAGAUCAAAAUUUCCAUGCAUACUCUAAACUCAAACUAGAGUAUUUGUCUCUGCGAUCAUGUAAUCUAAAAGGAGCAUUCCCUUCUUUGAUUUGUGAAUUGAGUCAUCUUUUUUUUCUGAAUUUGUCUGAAAAUAACCUGAAAGGAGUUAUUCCUUCCUGUAUCUCUAAACUCAAAUAUCUUGGUCUAUGCUAUAUAUCUGGCAACAAACGACUCGGUCCUUUUUUUCCUGCCCCUUGUAACACGGGCGAUUGAAUUUAUAGGUUUCAUUCAAUUUUCCAUAUUGUUCAAAAAAUUUCAGACUCCAAUCCUUUAUAUAUAUAUAUGUAUAGGUUCCCAAACAACAAAUUAUCCAGGAUUAUACCUACUAGUAUGAGUAUCGGAGUAUUCGUUGGCUUUAAUUUCAAUAGACUAUCUGGACAUAUCCCACAAUCUUUAGUGCUUUGAGGUUUUCAUUGUAUCCUAUAAUAAUGUGUGUGGCACGAUUCCAAGAGGGACUCACUUUGAUAAGUUGGGUGUUGACGGCUGCACAAAGGAAAGAAUAUUAUGCAGAGUACCAUUGAAGAAAAUAUGUAGGUGAUCAAGAAGGUGCGGGGUUCAGUUUUGGAGUCUAUUCUUUAUUUCACUUACAAAAAGGAGAAAUGGUGAUUUUCGCAUCGGAAGUUUUUUUUUUCUUCGUUUUUGAAGCAUGGAAGUUUGUCGAUUAUGUUGCAGUUAAGAUUACUGAUUACCCACAAGCUAUAUUAUAAAUGAUCAUUCAUGGUGACAAUGUGCUAUGGUUUUUUUUAGCUUUUAUCACUCUCCAUGUUUAAUGUACUCAACCUCGUACCGGAGAGUGAUGUUUUCAUGAACUGUGUUUGGGGGUAUUAUUCGUGUUCAAGUGAAGGCAAAUUUGGUACAA